This 467-nucleotide ribosomal RNA is filed under the name uncultured bacterium. RNAcentral describes it as "partial 16S ribosomal RNA". It matches the Rfam family "Bacterial small subunit ribosomal RNA", at positions 28 to 507 of the family's 1533-position model. The record is from RNAcentral.
GACGAACGCUGGCGGCGUGCUUAACACAUGCAAGUCGAACGGAAAGGCUCCAGCUUGCUGGAGUACUCGAGUGGCGAACGGGUGAGUAACACGUGGGUAAUCUGCCCUGCACUCUGGGAUAAGCCUGGGAAACUGGGUCUAAUACUGGAUUUGACCUUUCUCCUUAUGGGGUUUGGUGGAAAGUUUUUCGGUGUAGGAUGAGCCCGCGGCCUAUCAGCUUGUUGGUGGGGUGAUGGCCUACCAAGGCGACGACGGGUAGCCGGCCUGAGAGGGUGAUCGGCCACAUUGGGACUGAGAUACGGCCCAGACUCCUACGGGAGGCAGCAGUGGGGAAUAUUGCACAAUGGGCGGAAGCCUGAUGCAGCGACGCCGCGUGAGGGAUGACGGCCUUCGGGUUGUAAACCUCUUUCAGCAGGGACGAAGCGUAAGUGACGGUACCUGCAGAAGAAGCACCGGCUAACUAUGUG